RNAcentral lists this ribosomal RNA (399 nucleotides) under uncultured bacterium. Its description in RNAcentral is "bacterial SSU rRNA". It matches the Rfam family "Bacterial small subunit ribosomal RNA", at positions 357 to 773 of the family's 1533-position model. The record is from RNAcentral.
GGGAAUCUUGCGCAAUGGGCGAAAGCCUGACGCAGCCAUGCCGCGUGGAUGAUGAAGGUCUUAGGAUUGUAAAAUCCUUUCAGCGGGGACGAUAAUGACGGUACCCGCAGAAGAAGCCCCGGCUAACUUCGUGCCAGCAGCCGCGGUAAUACGAAGGGGGCUAGCGUUGCUCGGAUUUACUGGGCGUAAAGGGCGCGUAGGCGGACAGUUUAGUUGGGGGUGAAAGCCCGGGGCUCAACCUCGGAAUUGCCUUCAAUACUGGCUGUCUUGAGUACGGGAGAGGUGAGUGGAACUCCGAGUGUAGAGGUGAAAUUCGUAGAUAUUCGGAAGAACACCAGUGGCGAAGGCGGCUCACUGGCCCGUUACUGACGCUGAGGCGCGAAAGCGUGGGGAGCAAAC